AACGCGAAGAACCUUACCAGGUCUUGACAUUGAUGGACAGAACCAGAGAUGGUUCCUCUUCUUCGGAAGCCAGAAAACAGGUGGUGCACGGUUGUCGUCAGCUCGUGUCGUGAGAUGUUGGGUUAAGUCCCGCAACGAGCGCAACCCCUAUCUUAUGUUGCCAGCACUUCGGGUGGGAACUCAUGAGAGACUGCCGCAGACAAUGCGGAGGAAGGCGGGGAUGACGUCAAAUCAUCAUGCCCCUUAUGACCUGGGCUACACACGUACUACAAUGGGAGUUAAUAGACGGAAGCAAUACCGCGAGGUGGAGCAAACCCGAGAAACACUCUCUCAGUUCGGAUCGUAGGCUGCAACUUGCCUACGUGAAGUCGGAAUCGCUAGUAAUCGCAGGUCAGCAUACUGCGGUGAAUACGUUCCCGGGUCUUGUACACACC
Molecule: ribosomal RNA, 434 nt
Filed under: uncultured bacterium
Lineage: Bacteria
Description: bacterial SSU rRNA
Rfam family: Bacterial small subunit ribosomal RNA
Source: RNAcentral